This 2902-nucleotide ribosomal RNA is filed under the name Escherichia coli HVH 114 (4-7037740). RNAcentral's name for it is "bacterial LSU rRNA". It matches the Rfam family "Bacterial large subunit ribosomal RNA". Lineage: Bacteria; Pseudomonadati; Pseudomonadota; Gammaproteobacteria; Enterobacterales; Enterobacteriaceae. The record is from RNAcentral.
UUAAGCGACUAAGCGUACACGGUGGAUGCCCUGGCAGUCAGAGGCGAUGAAGGACGUGCUAAUCUGCGAUAAGCGUCGGUGAGGUGAUAUGAACCGUUAUAACCGGCGAUUUCCGAAUGGGGAAACCCAGUGUGUUUCGACACACUAUCAUUAACUGAAUCCAUAGGUUAAUGAGGCGAACCGGGGGAACUGAAACAUCUAAGUACCCCGAGGAAAAGAAAUCAACCGAGAUUCCCCCAGUAGCGGCGAGCGAACGGGGAGGAGCCCAGAGCCUGAAUCAGUGUGUGUGUUAGUGGAAGCGUCUGGAAAGGCGUGCGAUACAGGGUGACAGCCCCGUACACAAAAAUGCACAUAUUGUGAGCUCGAUGAGUAGGGCGGGACACGUGGUAUCCUGUCUGAAUAUGGGGGGACCAUCCUCCAAGGCUAAAUACUCCUGACUGACCGAUAGUGAACCAGUACCGUGAGGGAAAGGCGAAAAGAACCCCGGCGAGGGGAGUGAAAAAGAACCUGAAACCGUGUACGUACAAGCAGUGGGAGCCUCUUAAUGGGGUGACUGCGUACCUUUUGUAUAAUGGGUCAGCGACUUAUAUUCUGUAGCAAGGUUAACCGAAUAGGGGAGCCGAAGGGAAACCGAGUCUUAACUGGGCGUUAAGUUGCAGGGUAUAGACCCGAAACCCGGUGAUCUAGCCAUGGGCAGGUUGAAGGUUGGGUAACACUAACUGGAGGACCGAACCGACUAAUGUUGAAAAAUUAGCGGAUGACUUGUGGCUGGGGGUGAAAGGCCAAUCAAACCGGGAGAUAGCUGGUUCUCCCCGAAAGCUAUUUAGGUAGCGCCUCGUGAAUUCAUCUCCGGGGGUAGAGCACUGUUUCGGCAAGGGGGUCAUCCCGACUUACCAACCCGAUGCAAACUGCGAAUACCGGAGAAUGUUAUCACGGGAGACACACGGCGGGUGCUAACGUCCGUCGUGAAGAGGGAAACAACCCAGACCGCCAGCUAAGGUCCCAAAGUCAUGGUUAAGUGGGAAACGAUGUGGGAAGGCCCAGACAGCCAGGAUGUUGGCUUAGAAGCAGCCAUCAUUUAAAGAAAGCGUAAUAGCUCACUGGUCGAGUCGGCCUGCGCGGAAGAUGUAACGGGGCUAAACCAUGCACCGAAGCUGCGGCAGCGACACUAUGUGUUGUUGGGUAGGGGAGCGUUCUGUAAGCCUGUGAAGGUGGCCUGUGAGGGUUGCUGGAGGUAUCAGAAGUGCGAAUGCUGACAUAAGUAACGAUAAAGCGGGUGAAAAGCCCGCUCGCCGGAAGACCAAGGGUUCCUGUCCAACGUUAAUCGGGGCAGGGUGAGUCGACCCCUAAGGCGAGGCCGAAAGGCGUAGUCGAUGGGAAACAGGUUAAUAUUCCUGUACUUGGUGUUACUGCGAAGGGGGGACGGAGAAGGCUAUGUUGGCCGGGCGACGGUUGUCCCGGUUUAAGCGUGUAGGCUGGUUUUCCAGGCAAAUCCGGAAAACCAAGGCUGAGGCGUGAUGACGAGGCACUACGGUGCUGAAGCGACAAAUGCCCUGCUUCCAGGAAAAGCCUCUAAGCAUCAGGUAACAUCAAAUCGUACCCCAAACCGACACAGGUGGUCAGGUAGAGAAUACCAAGGCGCUUGAGAGAACUCGGGUGAAGGAACUAGGCAAAAUGGUGCCGUAACUUCGGGAGAAGGCACGCUGAUAUGUAGGUGAAGCGACUUGCUCGUGGAGCUGAAAUCAGUCGAAGAUACCAGCUGGCUGCAACUGUUUAUUAAAAACACAGCACUGUGCAAACACGAAAGUGGACGUAUACGGUGUGACGCCUGCCCGGUGCCGGAAGGUUAAUUGAUGGGGUUAGCGGCAACGCGAAGCUCUUGAUCGAAGCCCCGGUAAACGGCGGCCGUAACUAUAACGGUCCUAAGGUAGCGAAAUUCCUUGUCGGGUAAGUUCCGACCUGCACGAAUGGCGUAAUGAUGGCCAGGCUGUCUCCACCCGAGACUCAGUGAAAUUGAACUCGCUGUGAAGAUGCAGUGUACCCGCGGCAAGACGGAAAGACCCCGUGAACCUUUACUAUAGCUUGACACUGAACAUUGAGCCUUGAUGUGUAGGAUAGGUGGGAGGCUUUGAAGUGUGGACGCCAGUCUGCAUGGAGCCGACCUUGAAAUACCACCCUUUAAUGUUUGAUGUUCUAACGUUGGCCCGUAAUCCGGGUUGCGGACAGUGUCUGGUGGGUAGUUUGACUGGGGCGGUCUCCUCCUAAAGAGUAACGGAGGAGCACGAAGGUUGGCUAAUCUUGGUCGGACAUCAGGAGGUUAGUGCAAUGGCAUAAGCCAGCUUGACUGCGAGCGUGACGGCGCGAGCAGGUGCGAAAGCAGGUCAUAGUGAUCCGGUGGUUCUGAAUGGAAGGGCCAUCGCUCAACGGAUAAAAGGUACUCCGGGGAUAACAGGCUGAUACCGCCCAAGAGUUCAUAUCGACGGCGGUGUUUGGCACCUCGAUGUCGGCUCAUCACAUCCUGGGGCUGAAGUAGGUCCCAAGGGUAUGGCUGUUCGCCAUUUAAAGUGGUACGCGAGCUGGGUUUAGAACGUCGUGAGACAGUUCGGUCCCUAUCUGCCGUGGGCGCUGGAGAACUGAGGGGGGCUGCUCCUAGUACGAGAGGACCGGAGUGGACGCAUCACUGGUGUUCGGGUUGUCAUGCCAAUGGCACUGCCCGGUAGCUAAAUGCGGAAGAGAUAAGUGCUGAAAGCAUCUAAGCACGAAACUUGCCCCGAGAUGAGUUCUCCCUGACUCCUUGAGAGUCCUGAAGGAACGUUGAAGACGACGACGUUGAUAGGCCGGGUGUGUAAGCGCAGCGAUGCGUUGAGCUAACCGGUACUAAUGAACCGUGAGGCUUAACCUU